This 469-nucleotide ribosomal RNA is filed under the name uncultured bacterium. Its description in RNAcentral is "bacterial SSU rRNA". It matches the Rfam family "Bacterial small subunit ribosomal RNA", at positions 63 to 548 of the family's 1533-position model. The record is from RNAcentral.
CGAAGUCAAGAGGAGCUUGCUCUUUUUGACUAGUGGCGAACGGGUGAGUAACGCGUGAGGAACCUGCCUCAAAGAGGGGGACAACAGUUGGAAACGACUGCUAAUACCGCAUAAGCCCACAGCUCCGCAUGGAGCAGAGGGAAAAGGAGCAAUCCGCUUUGAGAUGGCCUCGCGUCCGAUUAGCUAGUUGGUGAGGUAACGGCCCACCAAGGCGACGAUCGGUAGCCGGACUGAGAGGUUGAUCGGCCACAUUGGGACUGAGACACGGCCCAGACUCCUACGGGAGGCAGCAGUGGGGAAUAUUGCACAAUGGGGGAAACCCUGAUGCAGCGACGCCGCGUGGAGGAAGAAGGUCUUCGGAUUGUAAACUCCUGUUGUUGGGGAAGAUAAUGACGGUACCCAACAAGGGAGUGACGGCUAACUACGUGCCAGCAGCCGCGGUAAAACGUAGGUCACAAGCGUUGUCCGG